This is a long non-coding RNA of Portunus trituberculatus (swimming crab), 372 nucleotides long. RefSeq lists it as uncharacterized. The transcript has 3 exons. The record is from RefSeq and is a predicted model, not a curated record. Lineage: Eukaryota; Metazoa; Arthropoda; Malacostraca; Decapoda; Portunidae.
CAUUUUUGUGUGAUAGGGGUGCUAACCUGGAAGACACAAUGAAGUGCAUUCUUAGGUAUGCUGUGACAAACUCCUUGGCUGUGCAAUACAACUGCUGUGGCAAAGGAGAGAAACACAGUUUUUGCCAUCUUGAAGUUGCAGGAUACCAUUAUCAUGUGUGCAAGCAUGAAGACUAUAGGCAUACAACAGCAGCCUCUGUCAAAGUCAUUAUGAAAGAAUGGUUCCACACAGCCAGAGACCGAGAUGGAGGGUGAUGAAGGAGGGAUUUAAGUGUAAACCACUAACAACAGUGUGAACACACACAAAUAAUAGUGAAGCUUUGCAGGUCACAGCUGUGAGUGUUAUGCAUGCACCACAUAACAUAUAGCUAUA